GAUGAACGCUGGCGGCGUGCCUAAUACAUGCAAGUAGAACGCUGAAGGAGGAGCUUGCUCUUCUGGAUGAGUUGCGAACGGGUGAGUAACGCGUAGGUAACCUGCCUGGUAGCGGGGGAUAACUAUUGGAAACGAUAGCUAAUACCGCAUGACAACAGUUAUUGCAUGAUAACUGUUUAAAAGGGGCAACUGCUCCACUACCAGAUGGACCUGCGUUGUAUUAGCUAGUUGGUGAGGUAACGGCUCACCAAGGCGACGAUACAUAGCCGACCUGCGAGGGUGAUCGGCCACACUGGGACUGAGACACGGCCCAGACUCCUACGGGAGGCAGCAGUAGGGAAUCUUCGGCAAUGGACGGAAGUCUGACCGAGCAACGCCGCGUGAGUGAAGAAGGUUUUCGGAUCGUAAAGCUCUGUUGUAAGAGAAGAACGAGUGUGAGAGUGGAAAGUUCACACUGUGACGGUAUCUUACCAGAAAGGGACGGCUAACUACGUG
Molecule: ribosomal RNA, 495 nt
Filed under: uncultured bacterium
Lineage: Bacteria
Description: partial 16S ribosomal RNA
Rfam family: Bacterial small subunit ribosomal RNA
Source: RNAcentral